GAAGCAAUGGAAUUAGGGAAUA
This 22-nucleotide non-coding RNA is filed under the name Rattus norvegicus (Norway rat). The record is from RNAcentral. Lineage: Eukaryota; Metazoa; Chordata; Mammalia; Rodentia; Muridae.